GACUUAAUGGUAGAACACUUGCUUAGCAUGCAAGAUGCCCUGGGUUCAAUCCCCAGUAUAAUCA
RNAcentral lists this transfer RNA (64 nucleotides) under Fukomys damarensis (Damara mole-rat). It matches the Rfam family "tRNA". Rfam says of the family: Transfer RNA (tRNA) molecules are approximately 80 nucleotides in length. Their secondary structure includes four short double-helical elements and three loops (D, anti-codon, and T loops). Further hydrogen bonds mediate the characteristic L-shaped molecular structure. tRNAs have two regions of fundamental functional importance: the anti-codon, which is responsible for specific mRNA codon recognition, and the 3' end, to which the tRNAs corresponding amino acid is attached (by aminoacyl-tRNA synthetases). tRNAs cope with the degeneracy of the genetic code in two manners: having more than one tRNA (with a specific anti-codon) for a particular amino acid; and 'wobble' base-pairing, i.e. permitting non-standard base-pairing at the 3rd anti-codon position. The record is from Rfam by way of RNAcentral. Lineage: Eukaryota; Metazoa; Chordata; Mammalia; Rodentia; Bathyergidae.